ACUUCGGUACAUCGGUGACAGGUGGUGCGAUGGUUGUCGUCAGCUCGUGUCGUGAGAUGUUGGGUUAAGUCCCGCAACGAGCGCAACCCCUAUUGUUAGUUGCCAUCAUUCAGUUGGGCACUCUAGCGAGACUGCCGGUAAUAAACCGGAGGAAGUGGGGAUGACGUCAAAUCAUCAUGCCCCUUAUGACCUGGGCUACACACGUGCUACAAUGGUUGGUACAACGAGUUGCGAGUCGGUGACGGCGAGCUAAAUCUCUUAAAGCCAAUCUCAGUUCGGAUUGUAGGCUGCAACUCGCCUACAUGAAGUCGGAAUCGCUAGUAAUCGCGGAUCAGCACGCCGCGGUCGAAUACGGUUCCGGCCUU
This 365-nucleotide ribosomal RNA is filed under the name uncultured Streptococcus sp. RNAcentral describes it as "bacterial SSU rRNA". It matches the Rfam family "Bacterial small subunit ribosomal RNA", at positions 1017 to 1381 of the family's 1533-position model. The record is from RNAcentral. Lineage: Bacteria; Bacillati; Bacillota; Bacilli; Lactobacillales; Streptococcaceae.